This 403-nucleotide long non-coding RNA is filed under the name Nicotiana benthamiana. Its description in RNAcentral is "long non-coding RNA (NBEN_LNC012195)". Lineage: Eukaryota; Viridiplantae; Streptophyta; Magnoliopsida; Solanales; Solanaceae. The record is from RNAcentral.
AGAAACAAGGCUUCCAGUCAAACUCAAUAUCCUGGAUCUUAGGCCCAUAAGGAGUUUCAAUCUCUAACUGAUCAGGAAGAGAAUAAGCAGCAUCACUUCAACUAGAACUCUGGCAAAUGAUAUUUUUUCAUAAUGUGCAGUAAAUUUAUCAGUGUAUAAUGGUUUGCCAAUUGCACUGGCCAUCUUGCUCAGGACCUUAGUAGACCAAUAUCCCACUGGAAGGCCAGGGAAUCGAAUCCAAAUAGGAACACUGUUGAGAACAUCACUCUGAAAAGUGAAAUCAACUUCCCAGGGUUUUAGAACCUUUUUUUAAAUUUUUUUCUGAGGGAUUAAGCAGGGUUUGGAAUGUUAGCCAUUAAUGGAGGUGGAAAGAAAAAAAAAUCCUAAUUUUUAGAGAGAGAAA